AGAUUGAACGCUGGCGGAAUGCCUUACACAUGCAAGUCGAACGGCAGCACGGGAGCAAUCCUGGUGGCGAGUGGCGAACGGGUGAGUAAUACAUCGGAACGUGCCCAAUCGUGGGGGAUAACGUAGCGAAAGCUACGCUAAUACCGCAUACGAUCUACGGAUGAAAGCAGGGGAUCGCAAGACCUUGCGCGAAUGGAGCGGCCGAUGGCAGAUUAGGUAGUUGGUGGGGUAAAGGCUCACCAAGCCUUCGAUCUGUAGCUGGUCUGAGAGGACGGCCAGCCACACUGGGACUGAGACACGGCCCAGACUCCUACGGGAGCAGCAGUGGGGAAUUUUGGACAAUGGGCG
RNAcentral lists this ribosomal RNA (348 nucleotides) under uncultured soil bacterium. RNAcentral describes it as "bacterial SSU rRNA". It matches the Rfam family "Bacterial small subunit ribosomal RNA", at positions 26 to 377 of the family's 1533-position model. The record is from RNAcentral.